AGGACGAACGCUAGCGGCGUGCCUAAGGUAUGCAAGUCGAACGGCCCGCAAGGGUAGUGGCGAACGGUCGAGUAACACGUAGACAACCUGCCUCCAGGUGGGGGAUAACAGUCCGAAAGGGCUGCUAAUACCGCAUGUGGCACGGAGAGGCAUCUCUCCACUGCUAAAGGUUUACUGCCUGGAGAUGGGUCUGCGGCCUAUCAGGUAGUUGGUGGGGUAACGCCUACCAAGCCGACGACGGGUAGCGGGUCUGAGAGGAUGAUCCGCCGGACGGGGACUGAGACACGGCCCCGACUCCUUCGGGAGGCAGCAAUGAGGAAUCUUGCGCAAUGGGGGCAACCCUGACGCAGCGACGCCGCGUGGGUGAGGAAGUCCUUCGGGAUGUAAAGCCCUUUCUCGGGGACGAACGGACGGUACCGAGGAAGAAGCCCGGCUAACUACGCGCCAGCAGCCGC
Molecule: ribosomal RNA, 455 nt
Filed under: uncultured bacterium
Lineage: Bacteria
Description: SSU rRNA
Rfam family: Bacterial small subunit ribosomal RNA
Source: RNAcentral